GGGGCUGACUUGGAUUUCGACAGAUUUCUUGUCGCACAGAUAGCAUGCCAAGUGCUGCUUGUAAAACAGCAACAAAAAUAACUGUAAACAACACAGAUUACGCUCCAGCUUACGCUAAAGCUGCGUGAGUUAAUCUCCUUUUGGAGCUGGACUGAUUAGAAUUUCUAGCGUUUUAAUCACUCCAUAACCUUAAGCUAGACGCUUUUAAAAGGUGGUUCGCCUUUUAAACUAAGAACAAGAACUCUUGAAACUACCUCAAGGUUUUAGAAAGUUGGACCAGAGCUAGUUUUAAGGCUAAAAAGCUAAUCAAUUUUCUAAGCAUUGUAGAAGUUUGUGUUUAGGGCAAGAUUUUUGGACUGGGGUUCGAUUCCCCACAGCUCCACCA
This 385-nucleotide transfer-messenger RNA is filed under the name Helicobacter pylori. Its description in RNAcentral is "Standard tmRNA". It matches the Rfam family "transfer-messenger RNA". From Rfam's summary of the family: Bacterial tmRNA, also known as 10Sa RNA or SsrA, is named for its dual tRNA and mRNA-like properties. Its role is to liberate the mRNA from a stalled ribosome. The record is from RNAcentral. Lineage: Bacteria; Pseudomonadati; Campylobacterota; Epsilonproteobacteria; Campylobacterales; Helicobacteraceae.